RNAcentral lists this small RNA (866 nucleotides) under Pan troglodytes (chimpanzee). RNAcentral's name for it is "retained intron". Lineage: Eukaryota; Metazoa; Chordata; Mammalia; Primates; Hominidae. The record is from RNAcentral.
GAAAUCCACCGAAGAGGAGCACAAAGAAGGUUGGUGGUCAUCAGUGUGGUUCUUUUUUAGGUGCUGCUUAUGUCCUUGGAAAGACGGCAGUUGGUUUUAAAAUGGACACAGCUUUAUGUGAUUUUAAAAAUUUAUAUUCUUCAUUAUGAUGAAUCAGUAAUAAAGUUUUUUUACUUGUAAUGGACAGAGGAUUAAAGGCCCUGCCCGAUGAUCUGAAGAGGCUAUUUUAUAUAUUUUCUUUUUGUAGUAUUUCGGGCUGCUGUGGAUCUGGAAAUAUCAUCUGCUUCUAGAACUUGCACUUUCUUGCCACCUUUUCCUGCACAUCUGCCGACCAGUCCUGAUACUAACAAGGCUGAGUCUUCAGGGAAAUGGAAUGGUCUACAUUCUCCUGUCAGUGUGCAGUCAAGACUUAACCUGAGUAUAGAGGUCCCGUCACCUUCCCAGCUGGAUCAGUCUGUUUUAGAAGCACUUCCACCUGAUCUCCGGGAACAAGUAGAGCAAGUCUGUGCUGUCCAGCAAGCAGAGUCACAUGGCGACAAAAAGAAAGAACCAGUAAAUGGCUGUAAUACAGGAAUUUUGCCACAACCAGUUGGGACAGUCUUGUUGCAAAUACCAGAACCUCAAGAAUCGAACAGUGACACAGGAAUAAAUUUAAUAGCCCUUCCAGCAUUUUCACAGGUGGACCCUGAGGUAUUUGCUGCCCUUCCUGCUGAACUUCAAAGGGAGCUGAAAGCAGCCUAUGAUCAAAGACAAAGGCAGGGCGAGAACAGCACUCACCAGCAGUCAGCCAGCGCAUCUGUGCCAAAGAAUCCUUUACUUCAUCUAAAGGCAGCAGUGAAAGAAAAGAAAAGAAACAAGAAGAAAAA